AGUGAACGCUGGCGGUAGGCCUAACACAUGCAAGUCGAACGGCAGCACAGUAAGAGCUUGCUCUUACGGGUGGCGAGUGGCGGACGGGUGAGGAAUACAUCGGAAUCUACUUUUUCGUGGGGGAUAACGUAGGGAAACUUACGCUAAUACCGCAUACGACCUACGGGUGAAAGCAGGGGAUCUUCGGACCUUGCGCGAUUGAAUGAGCCGAUGUCGGAUUAGCUAGUUGGCGGGGUAAAGGCCCACCAAGGCGACGAUCCGUAGCUGGUCUGAGAGGAUGAUCAGCCACACUGGAACUGAGACACGGUCCAGACUCCUACGGGAGGCAGCAGUGGGGAAUAUUGGACAAUGGGCGCAAGCCUGAUCCAGCCAUACUGCGUGGGUGAAGAAGGCCUUCGGGUUGUAAAGCCCUUUUGUUGGAAAAGAAAAGCAGCAGGUUAAUACCCCGCUGUUCUGACGGUACCCAAAGAAUAAGCACCGGCUAACUUCGUG
This 492-nucleotide ribosomal RNA is filed under the name uncultured bacterium. RNAcentral describes it as "partial 16S ribosomal RNA". It matches the Rfam family "Bacterial small subunit ribosomal RNA", at positions 29 to 507 of the family's 1533-position model. The record is from RNAcentral.